CAAUAGCGUAUAUUAACGUUGUUGCAGUUAAAAAGCUCGUAGUUGGAUUUCUGGAGGGAGCGUCGGCCCGUAUUUACGAGUGCGUGACGUCUCUGUCCAUCCUUGCGGGAAGGCACGGCAUUGAUUUGUUGUGUCGGAUCGCAUCAUUUACUGUGAAAAAAUUAGAGUGUUCAAAGCAGGCUUUCGCUUGAAUACAUUAGCAUGGAAUAAUAAGAUAGGACUUUGGUGCUAUUUUGUUGGUUGAGCCUAAAGUAAUGAUUAAUAGGGAUAGUUGGGGGCACCUGUAUUGCGUUGUCAGAGGUGAGAUUCUUGGAUUUACGCAAGACAAACAGCUGCGAAAGCGUCUGCCAAGGAUGUUUUCAUUAA
RNAcentral lists this ribosomal RNA (366 nucleotides) under uncultured eukaryote. Its description in RNAcentral is "partial 18S ribosomal RNA". It matches the Rfam family "Eukaryotic small subunit ribosomal RNA", at positions 592 to 976 of the family's 1831-position model. The record is from RNAcentral.